AUUGAACGCUGGCGGCAUGCCUUACACAUGCAAGUCGAACGGUAACGGGCCUUCGGGUGCCGACGAGUGGCGAACGGGUGAGUAAUACAUCGGAACGUGCCCGAUCGUGGGGGAUAACGCGGCGAAAGCUUUGCUCAUACCGCAUACGAUCUACGGAUGAAAGCAGGGGACCGCAAGGCCCUGCGCGGACCGACCGGCCGAUGGCAGCUUAGGUAGUUGGUGGGAUAAAAGCUUACCAAGCCGACGAUCUGUAGCUGGUCUGAGAGGAUGACCAGCCACACUGGGACUGAGACACGGGCCAGACUCCUGAGGGAGGCAGCAGUGGGGAAUUUUGGACAACGGGCGCGAGCCUGAUCCAGCCAUGCAGCGUGCAGGAUGCAGGCCUUCGGGUUGUAAACUGCUUUUGUACGGAACGAAAAGCCUUCUUUUAAUACAGGAGGGUCAUGACGGUACCGUAAGAAUAAGCACCGGCUAACUACGUG
RNAcentral lists this ribosomal RNA (482 nucleotides) under uncultured bacterium. RNAcentral describes it as "partial 16S ribosomal RNA". It matches the Rfam family "Bacterial small subunit ribosomal RNA", at positions 30 to 507 of the family's 1533-position model. The record is from RNAcentral.